GAUGAACGCUAGCGGCAGGCUUAACACAUGCAAGUCGAGGGGUAUGCUUCUUCGGGAGCAGAGACCGGCGCACGGGUGCGUAACGCGUAUGCAAUCUGCCUUUUACAGGGGGAUAGCCCAGAGAAAUUUGGAUUAAUACCCCAUGGUAUUAUAGGGUGGCAUCACCUUAUAAUUAAAGUCACAACGGUAAAAGAUGAGCAUGCGUCCCAUUAGCUUGUUGGUAGGGUAACGGCCUACCAAGGCUACGAUGGGUAGGGGUCCUGAGAGGGAGAUCCCCCACACUGGUACUGAGACACGGACCAGACUCCUACGGGAGGCAGCAGUGAGGAAUAUUGGUCAAUGGGCGCAAGCCUGAACCAGCCAUGCCGCGUGCAGGAUGACGGUCCUAUGGAUUGUAAACUGCUUUUGUACGGGAAGAAACACUCCUACGUGUAGGAGCUUGACGGUACCGUAAGAAUAAGGAUCGGCUAACUCCGUG
This 478-nucleotide ribosomal RNA is filed under the name uncultured organism. RNAcentral's name for it is "bacterial SSU rRNA". It matches the Rfam family "Bacterial small subunit ribosomal RNA", at positions 28 to 507 of the family's 1533-position model. The record is from RNAcentral.